UGAUCUGGACAUUAAAUUUUGAUUUCUUCAUCCUUCCUUCCUUUCCUGUGGCAAUACAGUACUUGAGGAUUUGGCAAUCAGGUGUUUUUUUUAUUUUUAAAAAUGUGGAAUUCUUCCUGAAAGUCUUGACACAUUGCCAGUUCUCUUUUCAACCUUUGGAAUUGCUAACCUUCAGGGCUCCCUGUCAAAAACAUCCCUGUGAGAUGACAAAGGGAGGAACUUUGACCCCUCCCUCCCUUAGCAUCCCCCAAUAUCUCAUGAUUCAUCGUAAAUCCGUUAGGGUUCGAGGGAGAACUUCUUCUCCUAUGAGCAAGGGGCACGCAGCAGGCCUCGUCCCUGAAAAUAGAUGCCGUUUCUGCUGCCCCCUCCUCCUUCCUGCCCAAAUAUUCCUGUGCCAUGAAUUAUUCAGCCGGCCUCUAAUAGAAUCUCAAGCCCUGGGUGGCUCAGGAGCUCUUGGCAAGAUGCAGGCGGGAUUGAGUCGAGUCAGCCCUUGUCGCAUUCAAAUGCAUCCAAACCGCUCACUCGCAGGGAGACUUUUCUUAGCUCCAACAACAAUUAGGUCUCUCUGUCACCCCCAAAAGUGUGAUAUAUUUAGCUGAUCGAUGCCUCUUUUGGAAGGGCACCCCCCUGCCCCAGCAGGCAGAGCUGACGGAUUUACAUCCCCGAGAUGUUUUUCUCCUUCAUGACCCUUGACAACAACAACAGCCACCCCCUUUCCAAAGCAAAUACGUCGGGGGUGUAUUUGUGUGGCUGUCUUGGCCGAGGUGACUGAGUGCCCUAUUUCUAAUGGUUUUGAAGAUGCACCGGUUUCCUCAUUCUAUGUGAAAAACAAAACCAGACUGGCCUGUGACUCUCCCCUGGGCCCUAGCAAUGGGAUCAGGUCCAUCACGGCACCUGUAGGCUGGCGAGCUUGCAGGGUGGAGACCGGCCCCUGUGGCGCAAUCGACUCUGCCGACUUCCCGUCUCCCAGCAUUUGCCAUCAGAGGCAGCUGCCUCACUCUGCCUCAAGGUAGGGCCGGCCCCUGCUUUUGGAAGACACAGCAGCGCAGUUAGCCACAAUGGCUACGAAAGCCCAUCUGGGGUUUCUCAGCUGCUGUUCUAGCCGUGCAGGGGGUUGCAAAUCUAUGGUUCUACCUGCAUUGUCAUAAGCCGUGUGGCCCUGUUGCGAUUGGGACUGGGUUGGCAAGCCCUGACAUGGGAGGAGGAAGAAAUGGGGUUCUGAUUGGUAGGAACCAGGCAGUGCCAUAACUGGGGGGGCGUCUAGCUGGGUUUGGUGUUUUUUUGCCCCAGGUGAAUCCUCCAUUGAGGCUCCCAGCCUGUGUGUGUGUGUGUACACAAAUGCAUGUGAGCUGUGUGUGCCUAACUUAGUUUUUGACCUGGGUGAAAUAAAGCCUAGUUUUGCCCCUGAGCUAGCUACUUCCUCCACUGAUAGAUGUGGGGAUGUUCAGGGUGGCAAGAGAGGAUAUAUUGUUUAUUAAUAUUCUUCCUAACUUGCGAUAACAAGUUCCUUUACUUAGCAGAAUUUAUAUUUCCCCUUUUUACAAGCACAGCAGAUAGCUGGUUGCAGGCUCGUGUGGGCCUCUCACUAUUAUACAAUUCAGUCUGUCUCAGAUUGAAUUGUACGUUCCUGGUAAAUUCCCUUGAAUCCCUCUCAAAAGAAUAAAGACACCACAAUCUUUUUCAAAGUCAGUAAAAGAGGUUUACUCACAUCAGUUCACAGUUGGAUUCCUGAAGGCAGCCUUAGUUACAAAUAUGUACAUGUGGAUCUACCCCAUAUGGGGAAUAAUCCCAGUUACUGCAGGCUAGCAGUCCAGCAGUUCACACGAUGAAAGGAAGAUGGAAGAGGAGGAGGUGUGCUGCGUGACUCGUCCUUUUGUUACCUGGACAGGUUAGGUCACGCCCACCUUCUAUCACAUGUAAAAGGAAGGAUGCUCCAGCCAGGAGGAAAAGGAAGCUUUGACUGGCUGGACCAAACAUUCCCUUGCAUGUCCUCUCUAGCAUUACAAGGAAUACUGUACUUGACUGCCUCUCAUGAAUCACAUCCCACAAUAGGAACAGAUCCAGCCACCUUCGCAGUUCCCAUACUCUCGCAAAGUGAGUGAGUCUUAUGAUUGAGUACACCGGACCUCAUUUUAUUUAUUUAUUUAUGUUGCAAUACAUACACAUUUUCACAUUUCAUUAUGUACCAACAUUUAUCCAUUUCUUAUUUCUUGCCCUGUGUCUUCCCUUGACCCGUGCGUGACUUCCUUGUUAUUAUUUUGUAACUUUAUUAUUGAGAUUGUAAUUUUGUAUCUUAAUAAUUAAACAUUCAAUCUUAUAUAUCUGCUUAACUUAACUUUGUGAAAUCAGUCUAUACAUAUCAAUACAUUCUUGUUGGAGCAUCUUUUUGGUCAUGUUUUCUUCUACACAUUUCCAUUCCUGUUUGAGAUUUUGAUUAGAUUGCAUUCUAAUUGUUGCCGUCAUUUUUGUUAAUUCAAUCAUUUCAAAAAAUUUAUAUUUCCAAUCUUUCAAUGUUGGUACUUCUUCUGAUUUCCAAUUUUUUGCAAUCAAUAACCUUGCGGCAGCUGUUGCAUGUAAAAAGAUUUUCUUCAUGUCUUUGGGGAUGUCAUCUUUAGAAGAACAUUAGAAGAGGCUGCUGGAUCAGGCCAGUGGCCCAUUCAGUCCAGCAUCCUGUUCUCCCAGUGGCCGACCAGGUGCCUUAGGAAAACUAGCAAGCAGGACCCAAGCACAAGAGCAAUACAGUGGUACCUCGGGUUAAGUACUUAAUUCGUUCUGGAGGUCCGUUCUUAACCUGAAACUGUUCUUAACCUGAAGCACCACUUUAGCUAAUGGGGCCUCCCGCUGCCAGAGCACGAUUUCUGUUCUCAUCCUGAAGCAAAGUUCUUAACCGAGGUACUAUUUCUGAGCUAGCAGAGUCUGUAACCUGAAGCAUAUGUAACCUGAAGCGUAUGUAACACGAGGUACCACUGUACUCUCCCUCCCUGAGUUUUCCAGCAAGCGUUGCUGCCUCUAAUUGUGGAGGCAGAGCAGAGGCAUUGUUCUCUAAAGCUUGGCAGACAGAGCAUGGAAACAGUUAGGACGUCCAUUGCUUCCCUCCAAUUUGGAAUGUCUUGCCUGAUUCCUGAACUCUUCUGCCAUGUGCACCAAUAAGUAUCACUUCGCCCUUGUUCUCUUAAGAAAUAAAGGGCUUUUCUGAAGCGACUUACAGCUCAGCUGAGAUGAUGCAACGAUCCAGUAAUAUGAGGAAUCCUUCAAAAGUAGCAGUGCUGGUGGCACCCCUAAAGACCUGUGCUUGCAGUGCAGGGAUGGAGCACUUGUUUGUUGGUUUGUUGCAUUUCUUCCCCACCUUUUCCUCCAAGGAGCUCCAGGUGGUUUACACCGUUAUCCUUCCUCCUCAUCUAAUCCUCACAACGACCCUGUGAGGGAGAUUAGGCUGAGAGGCAGCGAAGGCCCUGUGGCCACCCAGUGAGCUUUGUGACUGAGUGGGGAAUUUGAACCCUGGCCUCCCAGGUCCUUGUCUGACCCAGUAAUAACCACUGCACCACACUGCCUCUUUUAGCUCCUCUUUCUACCUGUGUUGGGUGUGAGGCAGGGCAUCUAUGGUUGGAGGCAGGGAAUCACAGGUGCAGAGAGCGCUGUUGCUUUCAGGUCCUGUUUUCAGGAUUCCCUUUGGGGAGAUCUGAAUCGCCACUGUGAGAACAGGAUGCUGUGAUGGCCUGGGACUCUGGCUUGGGCUCGGAGCCAGAGGAGUCUCAGUCCGCACCAGAUCCUCUGCCUCAGGCAUCAUCUGAACCAAGUCUGGGGCCUGAUUCUGAAGAGCCCCAGUCUGCACAGGUUCCCCUGCAACAAGCACCAGCUGGGCCGAGUCAGGGGCCUGAGCCUGCCCUGGCUCCAGAUGCAGGGAUGACCUUGUUGCCUUCAGCUGGGCCAUCACUUACUGCUGCUCCACUACCGGUUGGGUCAGGGGAGGCUGAGGCGGCCUCUGGGUCUAGUAACCCACCGACGUCUCCCGAGCUGCAGAGACUCAGGUCUGAGAGAAGGAGAGACCUGAGUACUCGCAGGAGGAGUGCUCGCCUUCGGGCGAGACAGGGAGGUGAGUCGCCGGGGAACAGGACUGGCCAUUACCCUGGCAGAGAUAAAAGGCUGCUGGACCCCAGCCCAGGUUGCUGUUGGCCAGAACCUGCCUGUGAUCCUGUGCCUGACCUAGCCUGGUUUCCUGCCUUGGCCCUGUCGGACUGACUCCUCGCAGAACCCUUGGAUUCGGGACCGGACCUGGACUGCGUUACCCGGGUUACCCCCGGGCCCAACACAGUUGCAGGACUUGAUGUUCCACUGGCCUUAUCCAUCUCCUGACUGGACACUGAACCUGCGCUUUUGUUCUGGUGUGGCAUGAUGAAGCUGCGCAUGGAAGUGCAAGCAGCAUUGAAAUGAUGAGCUCAAUUCAGCCACCAGCAUCUGAGUGUGAACCUGCAAGUUGCCCUGUUCAACAUCCACCAAAUCAAAAUGAGGUUAUCGACUUUUGCUCAAAACCCUUUGGCAACCAGCCCACAAUUCUGGCUUUCACCCAAGUCAGAGUCUGGCAAUGCUCCAUAGAGUCUGCAACAUGUUGUUGUGGGCCCCAC
Podarcis lilfordi (Lilford's wall lizard) is the source of this 4622-nucleotide non-coding RNA. NCBI's taxonomy places the organism in Eukaryota, Metazoa, Chordata, Lepidosauria, Squamata, Lacertidae. The record is from the annotation of a GenBank genome assembly.